CUUAUUCCCAUGGCAAUCUUCUCUAAGUAAUGUUAAUUUAAGUACUUGGAACAUCAGUGCAUGUACCUUUCCAAGAAAUGCUUUCUAUCUUCAAGCUCCGAAGAGAUAAACCCAACCAUCCAAUCAAGACAUUUAUAUCAGAGUUUAUAGAAGUUUUUGCAAUUGUGAUCUCUCUCUCUCCUCCCUCCCUCCCUCCCUCUCUCUCUGGUUCCUGCGUGUGUG
Molecule: long non-coding RNA, 222 nt
Filed under: Naja naja (Indian cobra)
Lineage: Eukaryota; Metazoa; Chordata; Lepidosauria; Squamata; Elapidae
Description: lncRNA (ENSNNAG00000014230.1)
Source: RNAcentral